AGGACUAUACUUUCAGGGAUCAUUUCUAUAGUACGUUACUAGAAAAGAUUCUCUGAACGUGUAGAGCACCCGAAACCACGAGGAGGAAGUGCAGCGUUCCCUUCUUGAGGG
RNAcentral lists this small nucleolar RNA (111 nucleotides) under Rhinolophus ferrumequinum (greater horseshoe bat). RNAcentral describes it as "Small nucleolar RNA U3 (ENSRFEG00010007710.1)". It matches the Rfam family "Small nucleolar RNA U3", at positions 1 to 111 of the family's 219-position model. From Rfam's summary of the family: Small nucleolar RNAs (snoRNAs) are involved in the processing and modification of rRNA in the nucleolus. There are two main classes of snoRNAs: the box C/D class, and the box H/ACA class. Lineage: Eukaryota; Metazoa; Chordata; Mammalia; Chiroptera; Rhinolophidae. The record is from Rfam by way of RNAcentral.